UGGGGAAUUUUGCACAAUGGGGGAAACCCUGAUGCAGCGACGCCGCGUGAUUUAGAAGGCCUUCGGGUUGUAAAAAUCUUUUCUAUGGGAAGAAAAUGACAGUACCAUAGGAAUAAGGACCGGCUAAUUACGUGCCAGCAGCCGCGGUAAUACGUAAGGUCCGAGCGUUGUCCGGAAUCAUUGGGCGUAAAGGGUACGUAGGCGGGUAAGCAAGUUAGAAGUGAAAUCCUAUAGCUCAACUAUAGUAAGCUUUUAAAACUGCUCAUCUUGAGGUAUGGAGGGGAAAGUGGAAUUCCUAGUGUAGCGGUGAAGUGCGCAGCUAUUAGGAGGAAUACCGGUGGCGGAGGCGACUUUCUGGCCAUAACCUGACGCUGAGGUACGAAAGCGUGGGUAGCAAACAGG
Molecule: ribosomal RNA, 402 nt
Filed under: bacterium
Lineage: Bacteria
Description: partial 16S ribosomal RNA
Rfam family: Bacterial small subunit ribosomal RNA
Source: RNAcentral